UGUCUUCUGCCGUGUUCGUUGUUCUGCGCUUUCAAUUGCCUUGACCCUAUAUAACGACCCCGGGCACGCGAUAUCCGGGCUGGCGAGCAAGUCCGCGUUCAGCGGAAAGCCCAAUGCCGGAAGAGCCUGCCCACCUGAUCCUCGGGAUCAAGGUCGUCAGCGCAGACGGCGACGCGGCGGAGGACGC
RNAcentral lists this non-coding RNA (187 nucleotides) under Pseudomarimonas arenosa. RNAcentral's name for it is "6S RNA". It matches the Rfam family "6S / SsrS RNA". From Rfam's summary of the family: E. coli 6S RNA was the first non coding RNA to be sequenced, but its function was unknown until recently. It consists of 184 nucleotides that fold into an extended hairpin structure with a large single-stranded internal bulge. Lineage: Bacteria; Pseudomonadati; Pseudomonadota; Gammaproteobacteria; Lysobacterales; Lysobacteraceae. The record is from RNAcentral.